UUUCCGUAGGUGAACCUGCGGAAGGAUCAUUCACAAUCAGUGUUUUAUGGAACUUUUUCAACAAUCCAAAUCCACCUUGUGUGCAACGUUAUGAGACCCUCUAUCGUUACCUUUUAGGUUACGGAAGAGGGAACCUCUACAACUUACCAACGUCACCUUUAAUUUAUUUGUCUGGACAUUUGUUAUCACGAAUUAAUUUAAUGCGAAAAUACAACUUUCAACAACGGAUCUCUUGGCUCUC
RNAcentral lists this unclassified non-coding RNA (241 nucleotides) under plant metagenome. RNAcentral describes it as "partial contains small subunit ribosomal RNA, internal transcribed spacer 1, and 5.8S ribosomal RNA". The record is from RNAcentral.